This 458-nucleotide ribosomal RNA is filed under the name uncultured bacterium. Its description in RNAcentral is "partial 16S ribosomal RNA". It matches the Rfam family "Bacterial small subunit ribosomal RNA", at positions 28 to 523 of the family's 1533-position model. The record is from RNAcentral.
GACGAACGCUGGCGACGUGCCUAAUGCAUGCAAGUCGCACGCGGGGAGCUUGCUCCGCCGCGUGGCGCACGGCUGAGGACCACGUGGGUACCAACCCCGGAGUGGGGGAUACCUCGUCGAAAGACGAGACAAUCCCGCAUACGAUCGGCAACGAUGAAAGCGGCACGGCGCUCUGGGACGGGCCUGCGGCCCAUCAGGUAGUUGGUGAGGGAAUGGCUCACCAAGCCUAUAACGGGGCCCUGGUCUGAGAGGACGACCAGGCAGACUGGGACUGAGACACGGCCCAGACUCCUACGGGAGGCAGCAGCAAGGAAUUUUCCCCAAUGGCCGCAAGGCUGUGGGAGCAACGUCGCGUGCAGGACGACGGCCUUCAGGUUGUAAACUGCUUUUGGGGGGGAAGAUACUGACGGUACCCCCUGAAUAAGCCCCGGCUAACUCCGUGCCAGCCGCCGCCGUAA